RNAcentral lists this unclassified non-coding RNA (336 nucleotides) under soil metagenome. RNAcentral's name for it is "partial contains 5.8S ribosomal RNA, internal transcribed spacer 2, and large subunit ribosomal RNA". The stretch from base 1 to 120 matches the Rfam family "5.8S ribosomal RNA", at positions 35 to 154 of the family's 154-position model. The record is from RNAcentral.
GAUGAAGAACGUAGCGAAAUGCGAUAAGUAAUGUGAAUUGCAGAAUUCCGUGAAUCAUCGAAUCUUUGAACGCACAUUGCGCCCCCUGGUAUUCCGGGGGGCAUGCCUGUCCGAGCGUCAUUGCAACCUUCAAGCGCGGCUUGUGUGUUGGGUCUCGUCCCCCGUGGACGGGCCCGAAAGGCAGUGGCGGCGUCCCGACAUGGUGCCCGAGCGUAUGGGAAUCCUCUUCCGCUCGAAUCGGCCCAUGCGGCGCUGGUCGUAACCAAAUUUUUUACCGGUUGACCUCGGAUCAGGUAGGGAUACCCGCUGAACUUAAGCAUAUCAAUAAGCGGUGGA